UCUGACCCGCAUGAAAGGUGUAACGACUUGGGAACUGUCUCAACGAAGGACCCGGUGAAAUCGCAAUGACAGUGAAGAUGCUGUCGACCUACAGCAAGACGAAAAGACCCCGUGGAGCUUUACUACAACUUGGUAUUGAAUUAGAGUUUUGGUUGCCGAGCAUAGGUGGGAGACUUUGAAGCGCCGUUUCCGGAUGGCGUGGAGUCAACACUGGAAUACCACCCUGCUGAGAUUUUAAUUCUAACCCUGGUCUGUUAUGAGUCACAAAGACUUAUAGAUGAUGAAUCAUGUAUUAUACUGAUUUAUUAGAAGACAAUCGAAGUUGUAAUCAUGGUUCAAAAUCGUAAUUAAUGUUUUAGUGAUUCAUAUCCAGACCGGGAACAGUGCCUGGUGGGUAGUUUGACUGGGGCGGUCGCCUCCUAAAUGGCAACGGAGGCGUUUACAAAGGUUGGCUAGGUCCGGAUGGAAAUCGGGCCGAUAGCGCAAAAGCACAAGCCAGCUUUACUGGAAGACCCAUAAGUCGAUCAGUUACGAAAGUAGAAUUUAGUGAACCGACCAUCCCACGUAGGUGGGUGGAAGAUCAUCAGAUAAAAGUUACCCCGGGGAUAACAGGCUAAUAGUGUCCAAGAGUUCACAUCGACGACACUGUUUGGCACCUCGAUGUCGGCUCAUCUCAUCCUGGGGCUGGAGCAGGUCCCAAGGGUAUGGCUGUUCGCCAUUUAAAGAGGUACGCGAGCUGGGUUCAAACCGUCGUGAGACAGGUUGGUCUCUAUCUGCCGUAGGCGUUAAUUACUUGAGAGGAUUCUUUCCUAGUACGAGAGGACCGGAAAGAGCAAACCUCUGGUGUAUCGGCUGUCCUGCCAAGGGCACUGUCGAGUAGCUAUGUUCGUAAAGGAUAACCGUUGAAAGCAUCUAAACGGGAAGCCAACCUCAAGAUAAGGUAAUAUAGUUUCCUAGAAGAAGACUAGGUUGAUAGGUUUUAGGUGUAAGUGUAGUGAUACAUUUAGCCAAGAAAUACUAAUAAAACUAAACCUUUUUUCAU
RNAcentral lists this ribosomal RNA (1042 nucleotides) under Candidatus Moraniibacteriota bacterium. Its description in RNAcentral is "bacterial LSU rRNA". It matches the Rfam family "Bacterial large subunit ribosomal RNA", at positions 1982 to 2925 of the family's 2925-position model. Lineage: Bacteria; Candidatus Moraniibacteriota. The record is from RNAcentral.